CGGGACAACAUCCAAAGGGAUGCUAAUACCGGAUGUGGCGCUCCUAUCGCAUGACGGGAGCGUGAAGAUGGCCUCUACAUGUAAGCUAUCGCUAAAGGAUGGGCCUGCGUCUGAUUAGCUAGUUGGUAGUGUAACGGACAACCAAGGCGAUGAUCAGUAGCCGGUCUGAGAGGAUGAACGGCCACAUUGGGACUGAGACACGGCCCAG
This 208-nucleotide ribosomal RNA is filed under the name uncultured bacterium. RNAcentral describes it as "partial 16S ribosomal RNA". It matches the Rfam family "Bacterial small subunit ribosomal RNA", at positions 139 to 334 of the family's 1533-position model. The record is from RNAcentral.